Molecule: non-coding RNA, 363 nt
Organism: Pelobates cultripes (western spadefoot toad)
Lineage: Eukaryota; Metazoa; Chordata; Amphibia; Anura; Pelobatidae
Source: the annotation of a GenBank genome assembly
CUCUCUCUCACCCUGUCUCUCACUCACCCUGUCUCCCCAGUCUCUCUCACCCUGUCUCUCAGUCUCUCUCUCUCACCCUGUCUCUCAGUCUCUCUCUCACCCUGUCUCUCAGUCUCUCUCUCUCACCCUGUCUCUCAGUCUCUCUCACCCUGUCUCCCCAGUCUCUCUCUCACUCACCCUGUCUCCCCACUCUCUCAGUCUCUCUCUCUCACCCUGUCUCUCAGUCUCUCUCUCACCCUGUCUCUCAGUCUCUCUCACCCUGUCUCUCAGACUCUCUCUCACCCUGUCUCUCAGUCUCUACUCACCCUGUCUCUCAGUCUCUCUCAUCCUGUCUCUCAGACUCUCUCUCACCCUGUCUCUCAG